CCGCGCCGCGUUACCGACCGACCGAGACCGACCCCUCCUGUCUUGCCCACCCGAUCCGGAUCCAGCCCCAACCCACCACCACCAGCGCCACUUCCCUUCGAUUUCCGCCGCCCGCCGAAGCCGUCCCCAGCAAGGACCCGGCCGGCGGCGCGGCCUCUUCCCCGGCGGCCCGCCCGCGGCCAGGCGCGCCCUUUCCUCCCUCCCCGCGCCCUGGCCGUGGCCGGUCUGCUCCUCCUCUCUUCGUCCGGGGCCCCGGGUCAUGGCCACCUCUCGCCUCGCCUCCUCGCGUCCGGUUUGGAUUCGCUACUCCUCGAUUCGUCGCCCGUUUAGGCUUAGAACCGCGCCUGAUUUGGUUCUUGCCGCUCGAUUCGUCCGUUUUGAAUUGCGCCUGGUUUGAUCUUGCUCGUCCUCGCUCGCCGUCGUCCGGUUCGAUUUUGCUCGUCCUCGCCGUCGCCGUCCGUGUAGGGUCGCGUCCGGUUUGAUUUUGCUCGUCCUCGUCGUCGUCCGUGUAUAGUCGCGACUGAUUCGAUUUCGCUCGUCCUCGCCGUUGUCCCGAUGCGCUCGCGUGUUCUUGGUCCGUCUCGCCUCGUCGGGGGUCUCCUCCGUCUCGUUUGCGUACUAGCAAUUCUGUCAUCGUGCGCUUUUGUUAUCCAAACUACCAAUCCUGGGUUUCGUGUUCGCGUCGGUUAUAGGAACGAACGGGUCCGGUUUCGAAAUUGGAUUACGGCCGGAGACGGGGAGCAGUGUUUGUUUAUCGUGCUAGUUCAGAUCGAUUCCUCUGUUCCGUCACCUACGUUGUUCCUGGUGAUUUUCAGAACUCAAACGUAUUGCUCUCCUGUGAUACUCUGUCAAUUCUUGGCCAUCUGUCAGUUCUUGUUGGCCCUCUGUCAAUUCUUGAGUUCCAGGGUCUGUUAAUUCUGGACUUCUUGUUGUACCGGCUAGGCGUGUGCGCUCUCAUCCUAGAUUCAGAGAUGGGGUGAUUCCUUGCGCUUGGUCUUUGUUUAUGUUCUUUCCAGUUUGUUUCUUUUAUCAUGCUUAGCUUGUGUGUUCCGAGCAGAAAAGUUUUACAAGAGUGCAAACCCAUGUGGUCUGCUGCUUGACUAAUUGAACACCUGCUGAUGCUACUGUUGGACAAGGUUCCUUCUUUUCUUCCUGAUGUUGCUAUUUCAAUUCAAGUACUCAUAGGAGUUCUAGAUGAGCUGCUGCUAGUUAGUUCCCCUUAGACUACAUUCUAGAUUGCAUAGCAUAACUCCAGAAUUUUGUCAUUGCACACCUGGGCAUAUGAUUCUGUUGUGAGCAUAACUCUAGAAUUUAUUUAUCUGUGAAAGCAUGUUCAUCACAUGUUUUUUUUAUCAAUGCUGCUAACUUCUGCCAUGCCCCUUUCCUUUUGGACAACAAUAUCAAUGAACCUAUAACAUGGACAUGUGCUGCUUGUUUUCUUGUGAUGAUGGUGAUCCAAUUGAGUAGCCCAACUCUUAUGCUCUGACAUUUGUUAAUCCCCAGUUAGUGUGCAUGAAAAAUUAUUGUUUGUCAUGUUAAAUUUUAUGGCAUCAACUCAGUAUUGUGAUGACUUAGUAUUUGUUUAGUGUAGAUAGUUGACUUCCUUUUUCUUAAAUUUUUAGUGAUAUGCAUGUUUUGUUAUGUCUUAUGUGGAUAUCAUAUUCUUUUUUUGUAUUACUAGUGUCCAGUCAAUGGAAAAUGCUUUUCUUGCUUUGCCUAGACUUUGUGACAAUUAACUUAUAGUGCGAUCAUUGAUCAUUGAGCUUCUGACACCCUAUUCCAUAAGAUUCUGUUGUAAUGUUUGCUAGAUCAUUGAGUAGUUAAUAUUGAUUCUGAGUUUGUUGGAUCAUUAACUUCUGUGUGUGCUUUGGUUAUCUGAGAGACACUCACUAUCCUGUGUUUCAUAUUCGUGGCGAAGCGAUGAACGAUUAUGUUUCGUGUCCCUGUGUUUCGUGUUCGCCCGUCUGGUUUUGGAUUUGGAUUGCAGAGACGGGGAGAGGCCAAAGCAAGGUCAGUUUAUCAUGUUCGCUCAGAUCGGUUCCUCGGUUCCGUCGCUGCGUUGUUCGUCGGCGAUUUCCAGACCUCAAACGCAUGCGCCCUUGUGAUACUCUGGUUUGGCUCGCUGGUCGUUAUGGUUGUUUGUUACGGUUGUUCUUAUGUUCUUGAAUCACCCAUCUUAUAAGCAGAGAUGGGGUGAUACAUUAUGGUUGUUCUGAUGGUUGCUUAUUUAGUGUUCUUUCCAAUUGGGUGGUUCUUGUCAUGCUUUGCUUAUGUUCCCAAUGUCUGUCUUUCCAUAUAUGGGGAUGCGUUAGGGUGCAAACCGUGUAGGCCAUGGUGUGUUUUUACUAGCUAUGGUGUGUUUUAUACUAUCUAAUGUGGAAGGUGGAAAUAUUGAUAUCACUUCUGUGUUAGUAUACUUGAUAUGGUGUGUUUUAUUCAAGUAAUUAACCACAUCUCUUACAAAUUUUCCUUGAGAUACAUGUUUAUAUGGCAGGAGUGAUUGUCUUGACGAAUAAUCAUUUAUGCUAACAGACCAGUACUUGAUCAUAGGUAACAGACCAGUACUUGAUCAUAGGUAACAGACCAGUACUUGUUAGUGCAGACAACUGACUAUUCUUUUUUUCUGAACUUUUUUUUGAUAUGUCUGUUAUGUGGAUAUCAUAUUCUAAUGCUUUUCUAAGUAUUUAAGGUAUAGACAUGUGGAUCUGGACAUUUCACAUUUGCUCUUUAUUGUGUUGCUAAGGACACUGAACGGUUUGUCUGGGCCACCGCACAGCCUGGCUAAUCAGAACUGUAUGAAUUUGAACAACAAUGGCCGAGGGCAGUACAAAUGCUUAGUGGUAUUGACUUGGACUCAGGAAUAAGGAUGCUUGAUGACAAACAAAUUAUCCAAGUGCGUCCAGAUUGCACGUCUCUAUUUGGAGGAUGAUGAUGCAGUGAAUGUUGAAGCUUUUAUCAACAAAGCCUCAUUUUUUGUCACAAACAGCAACCAGGAAGGUAUGCUAUGCAAGAAUUUUAGAUCUAAAGCGUAAAUUCUUGGAAGCUGCACUUCGAUACUAUGGUAUCUCUCAAAUUGAGCAACGCCAAAUUGGGGAUGAGUACAGACAUUGGAUCUGGACAUUUCACAUUGGCUCUUUAUUGUGUUGCUAAGGACACUGAUGGGUUUUGUUUGCAUAAAACGCAGUAUGGAGCAACAAAUUGGUCUCAUUGCAAGGUCACUACCUGGACGUAUAGGCAAGCAAUGUCAAGAGAGGUGGCAUAAUCAUCUGAAUCCAGACAUACAGAGAGAUGCUUGGACUAUGAGGAGGAACAUGCAUUUAUAAUGCCCAGGGAAUAAAUGGGCAGAAAUAGCAAAAUUUCUUCCUAGAAGUUCUUCUCACCUAUAGCUAAAGCAAGACGACAAACCAGGUGAAUUAUUGGAGUUGCAAGAUACACAGACUCAGUCAUCUUAAUCUUCUUUUGUAAAUAUGACUGCUGGUGCUGCUGGUAACGCUAUCCAUCGGCUUGUAACUCAUGAGAGGCAACCACAGUUGCCAACUUGAAACUAUAUAUUGUAGGAACGAAGAUCUGAAUCACCCUCACCCCUCGAGAGAAAUCGUUUAGUCAUUCAGGUUUUGGAAUUUCUUUAUAGCUUUCUGAGUUUACUUCGGUGUUUCUUGUUGCUUUCUGUUUGUGCCCCUAUCUAUGUUUGUUUCUUGUGUGCAAGUGCUCCAUUCUGUGUCUGUCUGACUGUUUGUGGUUUGACUCUCUUGUGUGUGUGGCUUGACUGUCUGUGUGUGGGACUGUGUGUUUGCCUGUGUGUGUGUGUGUGACUGUGUGCAAAUAUUGCAUUUGACUGUGAUGUGUGACUCUGUGUGUGACUGUGUGAAGCAUUUGAUUGUGAUGUGUGACUCUGUGUGUUUGCCUGUGUGUAUGUGUGUGUGACUGUGUGCAAAUAUUGCAUUUGACUGUGAUGUGUGACUCUGUGUGUGACUGUGUGAAUAUUGUGCAUUUGACUGUGAUGUGUGUGACUGUGAAUAUUGCAUUUUGGCAAUGACUAUGUGUGUGAUUGUGCAUGGCUUGACUCUGUGUGUGUGUGGCUUGUAUGCUUUGCUGAAUGAUUGGUUGGUGUGGCCUAACACUGCC
This is a long non-coding RNA of Triticum urartu, 4125 nucleotides long. RefSeq lists it as uncharacterized. The record is from RefSeq and is a predicted model, not a curated record. Lineage: Eukaryota; Viridiplantae; Streptophyta; Magnoliopsida; Poales; Poaceae.